CUAACUUUAAGAUUUUUCUAAGUCUAACAUGACAUUUUCACCAGCAUUUCAUGUACAUACUAUAUGCAUGACUUACCAAAGCAAUAGAGAGAAGCAUCACAAAUAAUCUGUAUAGAGUACAGUAUAAACAUAAAUUUCAUCACUUUAUCAAUCCAUCUGUUCCCAACAAAUGACAUAUUAUUUGAUAUGUAUAAAUCUACUACAUGGUUAAACAGAACACAACAGAGAAAGACAUACACAAUAAUGGAUCCUAACUUAUUUCAUUUAUUAAUGAUGGAAUAAUCAGCUCUGAACAGCAGCUAAUGUCAACAUAUUUGAUGUAAACAAUUUUUUUCUCCUUUCUUUAUCGACGCCAAUCUCAUUUUCCACCCGCUGCCGCUGCUGGGGCUGGGCCUGGAGCUGCAGCAGGAGUUGCAGCAGGAGCAGAAGCGAGACUGACCAAUUGGAAGGGCAGAAGGGCCAUCAGAGCAGAGUUACCUUGAGAUGGCUGUGCAUCAGGGAAGUAGGAUGGGUACUGAGGCUGCUGAUAGGGGUAAAACCCUCCCAAACCAUGCCCAUAACCCCUGAACAUCUGUGGAGAGAGAGAAAGAGAGAUGGAUAAAUUGUUCUGAACUCAAACAAACUAGUAAUCCUAUUCAAAUAGUUUCCCAUACUAUAGUACUCUAAUAGACAGAAUACCUAAUAGAUACCAAUAGAUUGUAUUACUGCACCUCAUCGCUAGCUGAGCGCUCCUCUCGAUCAUGUUCCUCAGACACCUGCACACACAAACAAAAUCACAGGAUGAAUGAUAUUAUGGUAUAAAGUAAUCAACACUCAAAGUGUGAACUUAAGUCCAUCAUAUUGUAAUAAUUCAGAUAUUGUCAUAUUCCAAUGCAAUGCAAUCUGUGGAAACAGCAAUCUCUUGGUGUAUUGAUGCGUAAAUUGCAGUGUUGAUGUUGAAUUUCAAGAAUCUUACAGGAAUGGAAGAACAAAGUCCAAUCAGGCACACCACUAGGACUAGUAGUUUCAUGGUCACCAUGGAAUUCUUGAAAUGAAAAAGAUAUACAGUGAAUUCAAAGCUUGACACGCAUGACUAAACUCCUCUACAGUAUUCUUUGAAACUCUCACCUGUUCAAGUGAUGUACAAUGCUUGAAAUGUUGGUACUAAACUGUUAACACUGUUGCCGUAUUGUAACUUAACUGCAAAAAUAUGCUUUUUAUUUUAUUUCAUUCCACAGUCAAUUAGCUUUCAGUGCACCAAUGUGCCUUCAGUGCACCAAUGAGCUUUAGUCCCAUGAUCAAAUGUGUGUCCUGUGUCCUGGAGAUGUAAAUGUGAUGAAAUUAGGCAUUUGGUGGGUAAUCCUACAAAUCUGUAUAUCCACAGUGCCCACAAAGAACAAUGUCUCAUCAGUAUUAGGAAACUUUAGCUAAAUUGAAAGGUUUUGAAACUGUCGAUGAUUCAUCUACCUGUUUUGGGGCAUUGCGGAGGCUAAAUGAACACAUUUAAUUGUAAUGUUUAACUUUAAUUUCUUAACUUACACAAUAUAACUCAAUUACCAGACUUUAUUUAGAUUUUCUCCUAUCAUGCAAUAUAAUGUACAACACUUUUAUUUAUUUAUUAAAUAACGCAAUGUAAUGUAACACACUUUGUAUAGAUUUCUCACAAUUUUCAUAAACUUAAUGAGCAUUCAUCAGAGGACUGGACAGACAUACAAUUGAGCUUGAAAUAUUAAUGUGUUUAUUAAACAGAAAUGCAUAAAGGAAUCACACUUCAUAGUCAAUGUCUGGGAGUUCCAUGAAAUACCUGAUCGACUGAAAAGUGAAUUAAUGAAUUUAAAGGAUAUACAUUGUACUUAUGAUGUUUGGGGAAUCCAGUGUUGGGAAAGGUACCCAAUUGUCAUACUUGAGUGAAAGUAAAAAUACCUUAAUAGAAAUGAAAGUUACCCAGUUAAAUACAACUUGAGUAACAGUCUAAAAGUAUUUGGUUUUAAAUAUACUUAAGUAUCAAAAGUAUAUGUAAUUGCUCAAAUAUACUUAAGUAUCAAAUGUAAAAGUGAAAGUAUAAAUCAUUUCAAAAACCUUAUAUUAAACAAACCAGACGGCACCAUUUUCUUGUUUACUUUAUUUACGGAUAGCCAGGGGUACACUCCAACACUCAGACAUCUUUAGAAACUAAGCAUUUGUGUUUUGUGAGUCCACCAGAUCAGAGGCAGUAGGGAUGACCAGGGAUGUUCUCUUGAUAAGCGUAUGCAUUUGUUCCUGUCCUGCAAAGCAUUCAAAAAGUAUUUUUGGAGGUCAAGGAAUAUGUAUGGGGUAAAAUGUGCAUUUUUUUCUUUAGGAAUUUUGUGAAGUAAAAGUUGUCCGAAAUAUAUAUAGUAAAGUAAAGUACAGAAAACUAUUUAAGUAGUACUUUAAAGUAUUUUUUACUUAAGUGCUUUACACCAGUGGGGGAAACUAAUAUACAUGUUGAGAUAUGAAAUGAAUAAUGGCUGGGUUACUGUAACAUGACUUCACCUGUUUAACGUCCACCUGGGGCAGGGGCUGGGGCUGGGGUCGGAGCAGGGGAUGGGGCUGGAGCAGGGGCUGGGGCAGGAGCAGGGGCUGGGGCAGGAGCAGGGGAUGGGGCUGGAGCAGGAGCAGGGGCUGGGGCAGGUGCUGGGGCAGGGGGAGCAGGAGCAGGAGCAGGAGCAGGAGCAGGAGCAGGAGCAGGAGCAGGAGCAGGAGCAGGAGCAGGGGCUGGGGCAGGGGCAGGUGAAGGGGCAGGGGCAGGUGAAGGGGCUGGGGAAGGUGCAGGAGCUGGGGCAGGGGCUGGGGCUGGGGCAGGGGCAGGGGCUGGGGCUGGGGCUGGGGGGGCAGGGGCUGGGGCAGGGGGCAGGGGCUGGGGCAGGGGCUGGGGCAGGGGCUGGUGCUGGGACAGAGGCAGCAAACAGUUUAAGUAGAAGUUGAAGUAGCUGAUUUGAAUUCAACUGUGGCAGGGAGGGCAGAAAGGAACCAGCCUAAAUAGGAAAAGAAAACAGCAGUUUUUUUCUCAUUCAAUGUCCUUUUGAUAUACAC
Long non-coding RNA from Oncorhynchus tshawytscha (Chinook salmon), 3033 nucleotides. NCBI's taxonomy places the organism in Eukaryota, Metazoa, Chordata, Actinopteri, Salmoniformes, Salmonidae. The record is from Ensembl.